CACGAAGGGGACUAGCGUUGUUCGGAAUUACUGGGCGUAAAGCGCACGUAGGCGGAUUUGUUAGUCAGGGGUGAAAUCCCGGGGCUCAACCUCGGAACUGCCUUUGAUACUGCAAAUCUCGAGUCCGAUAGAGGUGGGUGGAAUUCCUAGUGUAGAGGUGAAAUUCGUAGAUAUUAGGAAGAACACCGGUGGCGAAGGCGGCCCACUGGAUCGGUACUGACGCUGAGGUGCGAAAGCGUGGGGAGCAAACAGG
This 253-nucleotide ribosomal RNA is filed under the name uncultured bacterium. Its description in RNAcentral is "partial 16S ribosomal RNA". It matches the Rfam family "Bacterial small subunit ribosomal RNA", at positions 524 to 776 of the family's 1533-position model. The record is from RNAcentral.